RNAcentral lists this unclassified non-coding RNA (240 nucleotides) under soil metagenome. Its description in RNAcentral is "partial contains 5.8S ribosomal RNA, internal transcribed spacer 2, and large subunit ribosomal RNA". The record is from RNAcentral.
AACGAGGCCGACCUGCGGCUGAGUUACCUGCGGAGGGAUCAUUACCGAGUGAGGGCCCUCCGGGUCCAACCUCCCACCCGUGUUUAACGAACCUUGUUGCUUCGGCGGGCCCGCCUCACGGCCGCCGGGGGGCACCCCGCCCCCGGGCCCGCGCCCGCCGAAGACACCUGUGAACGCUGUCUGAAGUUGCAGUCUGAGACACUAGCUCAAUCAGUUAAAACUUUCAACAAUGGAUCUCAG